AUAGCGCAUAGUACCGUGAGGGAAAGGUGAAAAGAACCCCGGGAGGGGAGUGAAAGAGAACCUGAAACCGUAUGUCUACAAGCAGUCGGAGCGAAAGCGACGGCGUGCCUAUUGAAGAAUGAACCAACGAGUUACGUGCACUAGCGAGGUUAAGUGGAAGACACGGAGCCGAAGCGAAAGCGAGUCUUAAGAGGGCGGAUAGUUAGUGUACGUAGACCCGAAACCGCAGUGAUCUACCCAUGUCCAGGUUGAAGCGCAGGUAAAAUUGCGUGGAGGACCGAACCUGUGAGCGUUGAAAAGCUUUAGGAUGAGAUGUGGGUAGAGGUGAAAUUCCAAUCGAACGCGGAGAUAGCUGGUUCUCCCCGAAAUAGCUUUAGGGCUAGCCUCAAGUAGUAAGUAUAGGCGGUAGAGCACUGAUCGGGCUAGGGGCCAUAAAGGUUACCGAACCCUGUCAAACUCCGAAUGGUUAUACUGUAGAGCUUGGGAGUCAGACUACGAGUGAUAAGAUCCGUGGUCAAAAGGGAAACAGCCCAGACCACCAGCUAAGGUCCCCAAUGUCGUACUAAGUGGAAAAGGAUGUGGGGUCUCUAAAACAACCAGGAUGUUGGCUUAGAAGCAGCCACCAUUUAAAGAGUGCGUAAUAGCUCACUGGUCGAGAGACCCUGCGCCGAAGAUUACCGGGGCUAAAGUACGAAACCGAAGCUGUGGCUACGACGUAAGUCGUGGGGUAGGGGAGCGUUCUGUGAGGGCUGAAGUCGUUCUGUAAGGAACGGUGGACUUCACAGAAGUGAGAAUGUUGGUAUGAGUAGCGAAAAGAAUGGUGAGAAUCCAUUCCACCGAAAGCAUAAGGAUUCCUGGGCAACGAUCGUCGUCCCAGGGUAAGUCGGGACCUAAUCCGAGGCAUGGAGCGUAGGAGAUGGACAACUGGCAGAUAUUCCAGUACCGGUAAUGAUUGUUUGAGCGAUGGAGUGACACAGGAGGGCAGGCAGGCAGGAGAUUGGUUGUUCCUGUACAAGCGUGUAGGAUGGGACGUAGGCAAAUCCGCGUCCUGUGAGUCUGAGGCGUGAUGUGGAGGUUCCGGAAACGGAACUGAAGCUGCUGACCCCACACUGUCGAGAAAAGCUUCUAGUUAGAGAAUUACCGCCCGUACCGUAAACCGACACAGGUAUGCGGGGAGAGAAUCCUAAGGUGCGCGGGAGAACCCUCGUUAAGGAACUCGGCAAAAUGUACCCGUAACUUCGGGAUAAGGGUAGCCGCUGUUGUGAAGUCUGCACAGACGGAGCAUGAGGCGGUCGCAGAGAAGAGGCCCAAGCGACUGUUUACCACAAACACAGGUGCCUGCUAAAGAGAAAUCUGACGUAUAGGUGCUGACACCUGCCCAGUGCCGGAAGGUUAAGGAAGGAUGUCCGGAGCAAUCCAAAGCAUUCGACCGAAGCCCCGGUGAACGGCGGCCGUAACUAUAACGGUCCUAAGGUAGCGAAAUUCCUUGUCGGGUAAG
RNAcentral lists this ribosomal RNA (1498 nucleotides) under human gut metagenome. Its description in RNAcentral is "bacterial LSU rRNA". It matches the Rfam family "Bacterial large subunit ribosomal RNA", at positions 487 to 1980 of the family's 2925-position model. The record is from RNAcentral.